Molecule: transfer RNA, 78 nt
Filed under: Candidatus Heimdallarchaeota archaeon
Lineage: Archaea; Promethearchaeati; Candidatus Heimdallarchaeota
Description: tRNA-Arg
Rfam family: tRNA
About the family: Transfer RNA (tRNA) molecules are approximately 80 nucleotides in length. Their secondary structure includes four short double-helical elements and three loops (D, anti-codon, and T loops). Further hydrogen bonds mediate the characteristic L-shaped molecular structure. tRNAs have two regions of fundamental functional importance: the anti-codon, which is responsible for specific mRNA codon recognition, and the 3' end, to which the tRNAs corresponding amino acid is attached (by aminoacyl-tRNA synthetases). tRNAs cope with the degeneracy of the genetic code in two manners: having more than one tRNA (with a specific anti-codon) for a particular amino acid; and 'wobble' base-pairing, i.e. permitting non-standard base-pairing at the 3rd anti-codon position.
Source: RNAcentral
AGGCCCGUAGUAUAGUCCGGAUAGUAUACUCGGCUUCGGACCGAGAGGUCGGCGGUUCGAAUCCGUCCGGGCCUGCCA